RNAcentral lists this ribosomal RNA (199 nucleotides) under uncultured bacterium. RNAcentral's name for it is "partial 16S ribosomal RNA". It matches the Rfam family "Bacterial small subunit ribosomal RNA", at positions 335 to 527 of the family's 1533-position model. The record is from RNAcentral.
AGUCUACGGGAGGCAGCAGUGGGGAAUAUUGGACAAUGGGGGGAACCCUGAUCCAGCAAUGCCGCGUGUGUGAAGAAGGCCUUCGGGUUGUAAAGCACUUUCAGCAGGGAGGAAAGCAUCAUGGUUAAUACCCAUGGUAGUGACGUUACCUGUAGAAGAAGCACCGGCUAACUCCGUGCCAGCAGCCGCGGUAAUGACU